CAGCCGCCGCGGUAAUACGUAGGGUGCGAGCGUUAAUCGGAAUUACUGGGCGUAAAGCGUGCGCAGGCGGUUUUGUAAGACAGGCGUGAAAUCCCCGGGCUCAACCUGGGAAUGGCGCUUGUGACUGCAAAGCUAGAGUGCGGCAGAGGGGGAUGGAAUUCCGCGUGUAGCAGUGAAAUGCGUAGAUAUGCGGAGGAACACCGAUGGCGAAGGCAAUCCCCUGGGCCUGCACUGACGCUCAUGCGCGAAAGCGUGGGGAGCAAACAGGAUUAGAUACCCCGGUAGUCCCUGUCUCUUAUAA
Molecule: ribosomal RNA, 301 nt
Filed under: uncultured bacterium
Lineage: Bacteria
Description: partial 16S ribosomal RNA
Rfam family: Bacterial small subunit ribosomal RNA
Source: RNAcentral